Molecule: non-coding RNA, 26 nt
Filed under: Mus musculus (house mouse)
Lineage: Eukaryota; Metazoa; Chordata; Mammalia; Rodentia; Muridae
Source: RNAcentral
UAGAUACUAAGGUGCUUAAGAAGUUG